This 114-nucleotide ribosomal RNA is filed under the name Diaphorina citri (Asian citrus psyllid). The record is from RNAcentral. Lineage: Eukaryota; Metazoa; Arthropoda; Insecta; Hemiptera; Psyllidae.
GACAGCGGCGAUAGCACGUUGUACCAGUUCCCGAUGGAUCACUGAAGUUAAGCAACGUUGCGCGUGGUUGGUAAACGGAUGGGUGACCAUCUGGGCUAUCGCGUACUGCUGGCU